CGCAUCUGUGCAUGCAGCAUAUCAAUAAGCGGAGGAAAAGAAACUAACAAGGAUUCCCCUUAGUAACGGCGAGUGAAGCGGGAAGAGCUCAAAUUUGAAAUCUUAAAGGGUUUCCCUUUACGAAUCGUAGUUUAAAGAAGUGUUUUCUGCUGAGGUUUUGGUAAAAGUUCUUUGGAAUAGGACAUCAUAGAGGGUGAGAAUCCCGUAUUUGACCAUUACUUUCAACUUUGUGAUACACUUUCAAAGAGUCGGAUUGUUUGGGAAUGCAGUCCAAAAUGGGUGGUAAAUUUCAUCUAAAGCUAAAUAUUGGCGAGAGACCGAUAGCGAACAAGUACCGUGAGGGAAAGAUGAAAAGAACUUUGAAAAGAGAGUUAAACAGUACGUGAAAUUGUCAAAAGGGAAGCGUUUGACACCAGUGUUGUUUUUCUGAAAAUCAAUUAAAGAACUGUUUAUGCUAAGCUGUUUAGACUUUAUCAGCUAUCUGUUUAGUUUUGAGCUUUUCCUUAAUGCACUUUUCAGUUAACAAGUCAACAUCAAUUUCUUUUGCUGUAAAAAAGCUUGAGGAAGGUGGCUUGAGAUUCGUCUUAAGUGUUUAUAGCCUCUUGCCUAUGCAGUCGGAGAGAUUGAGGUCUGCAGCGUAGAUCCUUCGGGGCUAAAUGCAUUUGUGCUAAGUUAUAGCAUUUUAUAGACAACUUGUUGACUAUGAUUAGUCUUGUAGCUUACUCGCUUAUGUUAUUUUACCUACGCUUAGGAUGUUGAUAGUCACAGCGUGUAC
RNAcentral lists this ribosomal RNA (775 nucleotides) under uncultured Neocallimastigales. Its description in RNAcentral is "partial large subunit ribosomal RNA". It matches the Rfam family "Eukaryotic large subunit ribosomal RNA", at positions 26 to 643 of the family's 3401-position model. Lineage: Eukaryota; Fungi; Neocallimastigomycota; Neocallimastigomycetes; Neocallimastigales. The record is from RNAcentral.